GUAUGUGCAAUAUCAGUAUCUUCUCUGUGCACUGUGAAUACUGUGUAUUCGACGUUUGUCUGUUUACUUAUUACAUUUUGCCUUUACUGCUUUUUUACUUUUUACGUAGCCUAUUUAUUAUUAUUAUUAUUAUUAUUAUUAUAUCUCGCAUUCUUCACUGACGUCUGUUUUUGUACAAUCCCCAAAUGCUGCUGUAACACUGCAGAAUUCCCCGUUGUGGAACUAAUAAAGGAUUAUCUUAUCUUCUCCGAAAUUUCCUUCCUGAAACUUCUAGCUACCUGCACCUGGUGAUGAUUUUUCACAGUAAAACCAAAAUCUGGAAACUGCAAAUAUGACCGUCCGUUUUCGGAGUAUGGAGUAACGUUAACUAAACCCUUAUAACUGCAGGUGCCUAACAAAAAGUAAGCCUAACCGUCAUGAUAAGGAUGCUGACACAUUUUGACUGUGUUUAGAGGCGUUCAGUGCACAUUAUAGCACGAGAGGACUAACGUACAGGAGCUUUGGUGAUCUGCUCCUCCUGGUAGGUGGAGGUGGAGAUGGAGCCGUAAGGAUCCACUACAGUCUGGGCACAGCGCACCACCGUCACCAGCAGGAAGAAACAAAGGACGAAGAGGAAGAAGAGAGCGAAGCCCAGGUCCACGUCUACCUCAAACUGUGGCGCGGGGUGAGAAGCCUGGUCCAUGUGGGCUGAUGAUGACUGCUAAUCCUUUCUUCUUUGUGUCCUUGUCAGUUCAGCACCACCACUCUAGGAGAAGGACAGGUGUGUGGACAUGUGCUCUUGAGAUGAUGGUGAUGACUUGAUGCCGGAAAUACAAAUCAGAAAGACAGACAAAGAUUAAAGAGGUUACAGCCAGCUUAUGAAUGCAGAGACAGUAUACAACAUAUUACAAAGCAUCCUGUUGGUUAAGAUGCAAAUGUCCCUGGUUGGAUUCUGGUCAGGGUCUUUUGUUGCAUGUCAUACUGUACCAUUUCCCAGGGCUGUAAUUAUUUUCAUUACAGAUUCAUUUCUCAAUUAAAUUAUUAAUCGUUUAGUCUGUAAAAUCGCCAUCACAAUAUCCUGGAAAGCCAAGAUAUUGUCUUCAAAUUGCUUGUUUUGUGCAACCAACAAUCCAAAGAUAUUUGGUUUACUAUCACAUAAAACAGUGGAAACGCUCAAUAUUCUAGAAGCUGGAACAAGAGAAUGUUUGAUAUUUUUUGCUUGAAAAAAAAAUUAUUAAAUAAAUGAAAAUAAAAUAAAUGCUGAAUAACUUUUUGUUGAUUUACCAUUAGGUUAAUCAACCAAUCUUUACAGCUCUACUACGUUUAUAUUGGACAAGUUAAGACACCCAUAACAUAUUGUUCUGGGAUCAUGAAGUUUUAAUCACUAUAAAAGUUGACAGCAGCACAUGAUUUCAAAAAAGAACCAUAUUAGCAAAUAACUGAAGAAACAUAUCAAUUAAUUUUAAAGAUAUGAUUUCAAACUCACCAUUUUUCAUUGUCAUCAGAUGUUUGUUGCUGCAGUUUUUCCACCACCCAUCCAAACCUUUGAAAAGCUUUUCAUAGUAUCUCCGUCCCGACUCCCUCUGAGGUUCCUUAUUACUCGAGUUACAUAAGACAGUCAUCAGUUACCUAAGUCUUAACUGUCCUCGUGAUCAUCCCAGGCAAAAUGAGCAGCCCACAAAUUAGCUUCCUGCGCACACACAUGCAUACUCAUUCAUGCACUUGCACCUUGCGACCUCCCCCUGGCGUGUAAAGCCUUUAUUAAUACUUAAGCAGGAAUUGAAUAACGGUCCACACAGUUCACAAGUGAAGCAAACACCCCACAGCUUUUGUUCUCCUGUCACAAGGACCUCCAUCGCUGUCACCAAUUAGACUUCACACCACUAUAACCCAAGCACCUUAGGUGACACUGAGCUCAUUCAUUACACAAGGCUGAACAGGCAACAGAGGAAGGAGAUAUGUGAAUGAAAAGGCAAAGAUUUGAAGAGGAGCAAGACUGGACACAGAAGGGGGGCGUGUUAAGGAAAGCCCAUGGGUUGGAGCAGCAGAAAUAGGAGAUGCACUAGCAAUUAAACUGCAGAGCCAGAUGCGAGAGCAGGGUGGAAAUUGACCCUGCAGCUUUAAAAUGGAGAUUGUUACAGUGAGGCUGCCAGUGACAAGAACAGUGUGGAGGCUGAAGUGCGGGGCACUGAGGUAAAGUGAUCCUACUCCAUAUGCAAUUAGCCAAGAAGGACUUUCAGGCUGCAGCCAAAAUACUGUAGGGGAAAGUGGCAAAGGAAAGAGGAAGAAACAAUAACUGGUGUCUUUUUAGGGUGGCUGGAAAAAGAACUU
Sander lucioperca (pikeperch) is the source of this 2310-nucleotide long non-coding RNA. RefSeq lists it as uncharacterized. The transcript has 2 exons. NCBI's taxonomy places the organism in Eukaryota, Metazoa, Chordata, Actinopteri, Perciformes, Percidae. The record is from RefSeq and is a predicted model, not a curated record.